This is a small nucleolar RNA of Apodemus sylvaticus (European woodmouse), 130 nucleotides long. RefSeq annotates it as small nucleolar RNA SNORA42/SNORA80 family. The transcript has a single exon. Lineage: Eukaryota; Metazoa; Chordata; Mammalia; Rodentia; Muridae. The record is from RefSeq and is a predicted model, not a curated record.
GCAUGGAUUUGGAUUUAUGGCAGGCUCGUCCCCCCUGGGCCUCUCAUAGUGUCCCAUGCUAGAGCAAACUGUGGCUCCUGCCCGGCCUCUGUGCCUGUAGGCUGCUGUCACUGAAGUGGGUCACACAGUG